AUUGAACGCUGGCGGCAGGCCUAACACAUGCAAGUCGAGCGGAUGAAGGGAGCUUGCUCCUGGAUUCAGCGGCGGACGGGUGAGUAAUGCCUAGGAAUCUGCCUGGUAGUGGGGGAUAACGUCCGGAAACGGGCGCUAAUACCGCAUACGUCCUGAGGGAGAAAGUGGGGGAUCUUCGGACCUCACGCUAUCAGAUGAGCCUAGGUCGGAUUAGCUAGUUGGUGGGGUAAAGGCCUACCAAGGCGACGAUCCGUAACUGGUCUGAGAGGAUGAUCAGUCACACUGGGAGUGCGACACGGCACGGAGUCCUAAGGGAGGAAGUAAGGGGGAAUAUUGGAGAAUGGGAGAAAGCAUGAUAAAGCAAUGCCGCGUGAGUGAUGAAGGCAUUAGGGUAGUAAAGCUAUUUUAACCGGGAUGAUAAUGACAGUACCGGGAGAAUAAGCGACGGCUCACUCCGUG
RNAcentral lists this ribosomal RNA (459 nucleotides) under uncultured bacterium. RNAcentral describes it as "partial 16S ribosomal RNA". It matches the Rfam family "Bacterial small subunit ribosomal RNA", at positions 29 to 507 of the family's 1533-position model. The record is from RNAcentral.